AGAUCGGCUUAUUGGUCGUGCUUUUGUACGUACUGGUAUAAUCGGUUUCUCCUUUCUGACGAACUAUAAUGCCAUUAAUUUGGUGUUAUAGGGAAUCAGGACUGUUACUUUGAAAAAAUUAGAGUGUUUAAAACAGGCUUAUGCUUGAAUACAUUAGCAUGGAAUAACGGAAUAGGACUU
RNAcentral lists this ribosomal RNA (180 nucleotides) under uncultured Glomeromycotina. RNAcentral's name for it is "partial small subunit ribosomal RNA". The stretch from base 46 to 180 matches the Rfam family "Eukaryotic small subunit ribosomal RNA", at positions 693 to 830 of the family's 1831-position model. The record is from RNAcentral. Lineage: Eukaryota; Fungi; Glomeromycota.